RNAcentral lists this ribosomal RNA (448 nucleotides) under uncultured bacterium. RNAcentral's name for it is "bacterial SSU rRNA". It matches the Rfam family "Bacterial small subunit ribosomal RNA", at positions 329 to 794 of the family's 1533-position model. The record is from RNAcentral.
CGCCAGACUCCUACGGGAGGCAGCAGUGGGGAAUAUUGCACAAUGGGGGAAACCCUGAUGCAGCGACGCCGCGUGAGUGAAGAAGUAUUUCGGUAUGUAAAGCUCUAUCAGCAGGGAAGAAAAUGACGGUACCUGACUAAGAAGCCCCGGCUAACUACGUGCCAGCAGCCGCGGUAAUACGUAGGGGGCAAGCGUUAUCCGGAUUUACUGGGUGUAAAGGGAGCGUAGACGGCAGCGCAAGUCUGGAGUGAAAUGCCGGGGCCCAACCCCGGAACUGCUCUGGAAACUGUGAAGCUGGAGUGCAGGAGAGGUAAGCGGAAUUCCUGGUGUAGCGGUGAAAUGCGUAGAUAUCAGGAGGAACACCGGCGGCGAAGGCGGCUUACUGGACUGUAACUGACGUUGAGGCUCGAAGGCGUGGGGAGCAAACAGGAUUAGAUACCCCAGUAAU